Molecule: small RNA, 29 nt
Filed under: Bombyx mori (domestic silkworm)
Lineage: Eukaryota; Metazoa; Arthropoda; Insecta; Lepidoptera; Bombycidae
Description: piRNA piR-bmo-1401943
Source: RNAcentral
UAGAAUUUAAGACCUCGAUUUCACUUUGC